This 472-nucleotide ribosomal RNA is filed under the name uncultured bacterium. Its description in RNAcentral is "partial 16S ribosomal RNA". It matches the Rfam family "Bacterial small subunit ribosomal RNA", at positions 28 to 507 of the family's 1533-position model. The record is from RNAcentral.
GACGAACGCUGGCGGCGUGCUUAACACAUGCAAGUCGAGCGGAAAGGCCCUUCGGGGUACUCGAGCGGCGAACGGGUGAGUAACACGUGAGUAAUCUGCCCUUGGCUUUGGGAUAACUACCGGAAACGGUGGCUAAUACCGGAUACGACAACCGUCUGCAUGGGCUGGUUGUGGAACGUUUUUUCGGCCAGGGAUGUGCUCGCGGCCUAUCAGCGUGUUGGUGGGGUAAUGGCCUACCAAGGCUUCGACGGGUAGCCGGCCUGAGAGGGUGACCGGCCACACUGGGACUGAGACACGGCCCAGACGCCUACGGGAGGCAGCAGUGGGGAAUAUUGGACAAUGGGCGGAAGCCUGAUCCAGCAACGCCGCGGGAGGGAUGACGGCCUUCGGGUUGUAAACCUCUUUCAGUACCGACGAAGCGCCGAUGAUGGUGGUGACGGUAGGUACAGAAGAAGCACCGGCCAACUACGUG